Molecule: non-coding RNA, 155 nt
Organism: Ensifer sp. LCM 4579
Lineage: Bacteria; Pseudomonadati; Pseudomonadota; Alphaproteobacteria; Hyphomicrobiales; Rhizobiaceae
Source: Rfam
UGCCGGCUUUCCAACAGCCGGGGUUACUGAAGAGGCACACCUUCAUUGCCGGAAGUGCGGUUGGGAUAUUCCCUCCAAUCCAUGGCAGACAAAGCCGAGUCCUAGCCUUCGCGGGCUUCGAUUCAUCGUUCGCGCAUCGAGCGCAUGCAUGGUUC